Mycena metata is the source of this 83-nucleotide non-coding RNA. NCBI's taxonomy places the organism in Eukaryota, Fungi, Basidiomycota, Agaricomycetes, Agaricales, Mycenaceae. The record is from the annotation of a GenBank genome assembly.
UCCACUAUGGUUCAGUGGUUAAACUCCUCGCAACGUUCAGUUAACGAAUACAGAGUAUCGGAGGUUCGAUUCCUCUAGUGGCG